Molecule: microRNA precursor, 123 nt
Filed under: Pelodiscus sinensis (Chinese soft-shelled turtle)
Lineage: Eukaryota; Metazoa; Chordata; Testudines; Trionychidae
Description: miRNA (ENSPSIG00000020098.1)
Source: RNAcentral
AAAAAUCUUGUAAAGUGUGUGUGUACACAAUGUAGCAUAAUCAGAACUCUGUGUGUGUGUGUGUGUGUGUGUGUGUGUGUAUAUAUAUAUACAUAAAAAUUAAAUAUUGUAGUAUGUAACAUA